This 458-nucleotide long non-coding RNA is filed under the name Homo sapiens (human). Its description in RNAcentral is "non-protein coding lnc-GNAQ-2:3". The record is from RNAcentral. Lineage: Eukaryota; Metazoa; Chordata; Mammalia; Primates; Hominidae.
UUUAACAGACAAGGACAUUGAGGCUCAGUAAGGUGAGAUGACUUGCUCCAGAUCACACAGGGUUGAAGCUGAAAUUUUAAUCUAGAGUCCAGUUCCAGAAUCUGUGCUUAUAAACUGUGCUGUGCUGUAUUUGCUUUAAGAAUAUAAGGGUCAUUUCCUGCUUGAAUAAUCAAGGAAGGCAUGAUGGAAAAGUUAGGGGCAUCAUAAAACCCAAAGACAAUUCUGAUCAUAUUUUUACUUCAACACUUCUACAGGAAAGAAAGCCUUCCCAUCACUAAUAGGCAGUGAUUGCAUUUGCAACCCAUUCUUGCCAAAGAGAAAUUCGGAAGCACACUUCAAGGAACUAAGUUCAGUGAUAAUCACACUUGAUUGAUUUUCAGUACUGUCACAGUUUGAGAACUAUUUAUUGCCCUGAUUUGCUCUUUUCUCUGCCCUGUAUUAAAGAUCUUGCAUGACAG